GUGAGGAAUAUUGCGCAAUGGAGGCAACUCUGACGCAGCCAUGCCGCGUGCAGGAAGAAGGCGCUACGCGUUGUAAACUGCUUUUAACCGGGAAGAAACCCCAGGACGUGUCCUGGGUUGACGGUACCGGAGGAAUAAGCACCGGCUAACUUCGUGCCAGCAGCCGCGGUAAUACGAAGGGUGCAAGCGUUAUCCGGAUUCAUUGGGUUUAAAGGGUGCGUAGGCGGAGCGUUAAGUCAGUGGUGAAAUCCUGCAGCUUAACUGUAGACUUGCCAUUGAUACUGGCGCUCUUGAGUGCGCUUGAAGUGGGCGGAAUGUGCCGUGUAGCGGUGAAAUGCUUAGAUAUGGCACAGAACACCAAUUGCGAAGGCAGCUCACUAAGGCGAUACUGACGCUGAGGCACGAAAGCGUGGGGAUCGAACAGGAUUAGAAAACCCAGUAGUCC
RNAcentral lists this ribosomal RNA (445 nucleotides) under uncultured bacterium. Its description in RNAcentral is "partial 16S ribosomal RNA". It matches the Rfam family "Bacterial small subunit ribosomal RNA", at positions 354 to 796 of the family's 1533-position model. The record is from RNAcentral.